ACGUAGGGCGCAAGCGUUAUCCGGAAUUAUUGGGCGUAAAGAGCUCGUAGGCGGUUUGUCGCGUCUGCCGUGAAAGUCCGGGGCUCAACUCCGGAUCUGCGGUGGGUACGGGCAGACUAGAGUGAUGUAGGGGAGACUGGAAUUCCUGGUGUAGCGGUGAAAUGCGCAGAUAUCAGGAGGAACAUCAGUGGCGAAGGCGGCCAUCUGGGACAACACUGACGCUGAGGCACGAAAGCGUGGGGAGCAAACAGGA
RNAcentral lists this ribosomal RNA (253 nucleotides) under uncultured prokaryote. RNAcentral describes it as "partial 16S ribosomal RNA". It matches the Rfam family "Bacterial small subunit ribosomal RNA", at positions 525 to 777 of the family's 1533-position model. The record is from RNAcentral.